RNAcentral lists this transfer RNA (77 nucleotides) under Candidatus Neomicrothrix parvicella. RNAcentral's name for it is "tRNA-Thr". It matches the Rfam family "tRNA". From Rfam's summary of the family: Transfer RNA (tRNA) molecules are approximately 80 nucleotides in length. Their secondary structure includes four short double-helical elements and three loops (D, anti-codon, and T loops). Lineage: Bacteria; Bacillati; Actinomycetota; Acidimicrobiia; Acidimicrobiales; Microthrixaceae. RNAcentral also lists the same sequence under 5 other names. The record is from RNAcentral.
GCCCGGAUAGCUCAGUUGGUCAGAGCAGCUGUCUUGUAAACAGCAGGUCGUCGGUUCGAAUCCGACUUCGGGCUCCA